Molecule: ribosomal RNA, 500 nt
Filed under: uncultured bacterium
Lineage: Bacteria
Description: partial 16S ribosomal RNA
Rfam family: Bacterial small subunit ribosomal RNA
Source: RNAcentral
AUUGAACGCUGGCGGCAUGCCUUACACAUGCAAGUCGAACGGCAGCGCGGACUUCGGUCUGGCGGCGAGUGGCGAACGGGUGAGUAAUACAUCGGAACGUACCCUGUUGUGGGGGAUAACUAGUCGAAAGAUUAGCUAAUACCGCAUACGACCUGAGGGUGAAAGUGGGGGACCGCAAGGCCUCACGCAGCAGGAGCGGCCGAUGUCUGAUUAGCUAGUUGGUGGGGUAAAGGCCCACCAAGGCGACGAUCAGUAGCUGGUCUGAGAGGACGAUCAGCCACACUGGGACUGAGACACGGCCCAGACUCCUACGGGAGGCAGCAGUGGGGAAUUUUGGACAAUGGGGGCAACCCUGAUCCAGCAAUGCCGCGUGUGUGAAGAAGGCCUUCGGGUUGUAAAGCACUUUUGUCCGGAAAGAAAUCGCGCUGGUUAAUACCUGGCGUGGAUGACGGUACCGGAAGAAUAAGCACCGGCUAACUACGUGCCAGCAGCCGCCGUAA